Molecule: long non-coding RNA, 204 nt
Filed under: Mytilus galloprovincialis (Mediterranean mussel)
Lineage: Eukaryota; Metazoa; Mollusca; Bivalvia; Mytilida; Mytilidae
Source: RNAcentral
GUCAGGUCCAGACCAUGUGUUGUGUGUUGUUAGAUUUAUUGUCUAUUUACUCUGAGUAGUCAGGUCCAGACCAUGUGUUGUAAGUUGUUGUAUUUAUAUGUCUAUUUACUCUGAGUAGUCAGGUCCAGACCAUGUGUUGUAAGUUGUUGUAUUUAUAUGUCUAUUUACUCUGAGUAGUCAGGUCCAGACCAUGUGUUGUAAGUU